CCAUAUUCUUUAGUCUUCCAUAUAGGGAAUUCAACUCAUUGCGCCAUAAUUUAAACCCUAUGCAUAUUGAAAAGAGUGUGUAUGAUAAUAUUAUAUACUCUUUGCUAAAUGAUAAGAAAAAUCAAACGAUCAUGUUAAAGCUCGAAAAGAUCUACGAGAUAUGGGUAUAAGGCGUGAUCUUUGGCCAGACGAGAAAGAUUCUUAGGUCAUUUGAAGUCCCUGGUAGGAAAUAAAGCACAAGCAGAAGGUUCUAUAGCUGGAAGUUACAUAGUUGAAGAAGCUCUAACUCUUUGUUCUCGGUAUUUUGAGGAUAUUUAGUCAAGAGUAAAUAGGCCUAAACGUGUAAGUGAUGAACCAAAUCAUAGCAAGGCUUCUGAAAGGCCAUCUAUGUUCCCUCAACAAGGUAAAUUUGUUGGAGGCUCCACAACAUUCCCCAUGACUCCUUUGGAGAAAACUCAAGCUCAUCGCUAUGUGUUACUCUAUUGUGCUGCAGUGAAGCCAUCUAUUGAUGAAUUUAGGCAACACAUCAAAAGCAGUUCAAGAGGGCGAAGACCUUCAACAACAGAGGUAUAGAGAAGAGUCACUAAAGAGUUCUCUGAUUGGUUUCCAAAGCGAAUUAUGAAUCCAGAUAUAUCAGACACAAUAUCUGAUGAUAUGAAGUUCUUAGCACAAGGUCCAGCGCCAAAUGCAAAAAGAUUCACGGCUUAUAACAUUAAUGGAUUCAAAUUUUGGAUUUUGUCUAGAGAACAAGGAUUGCAAACUCAAAAUAGUGGAGUUUUUCUUAUUUCUGACACUUAUUGCAUUGCAUCUAAUGCUGAUAGAAAUGCGAGGCAAGCAGACUUACCAUAUUAUGGGAAGCCGGAAGAUAUUAUUGAGCUUAAUUAUUAUGGCUGGUUCAAGGUUGUGCUUUUCAAAUGCCAGUGGGAUGACACUACUCGUGAUAGAGGGUUCAAAAGAGAUGUUUGGAAUUUUAAUUGUGUCAAUUUUUCUAAAUUGAUUCACACCGGUGAUAGUGAGGAUCAUGAUCCUUAUAUUGAAGCAUCUCAAGAAAAUAUGGCCUAUGUUGAUGAUGAAAAUGAUGAGGAUCAUGAUCGUGAUGUUUUGUUUCAUCUAUGAUAGUUCAAUGUUUAUAUCAUAUGUUGAAGUGAUCAUAAAAUAUUCUAUUUUUUGAUAUAACGAAGACCAAGCAUUGGCAGAACUUCAAAAUGUCAAAUCAGGGGAAUGCACAACCAGCCCCGUCAGUUCAGGCAACAACAAAGACGGCUUCAUCGGUUCAGGCUACAUCACAGUUCGGUUUGUCAGUUCAGGCCACAUCACAAUUGGCUCCUUUGGUUCAAGUCGCAUCACAACCGACUUCAUCCUUUCCGUCCGCAUCACAGCCGACUUCGUCCUUUCAGACCGCAUCACAAUCGACUUCGUCCUUUCAGGCCGUAUCAUAGCCGACUUCAUCAGUUCAGGUCGCAUCACACCCUGCACCAUCCAGAAAGCAUAUUGAACGUGAGUCGAUGCAACAUUGGACUGUAGAUGCUAUAGAAGAAAAUAGGAAGAGGCUCAAAGUGAAAGUUAGGGAUGUUCUAAAUUUAUCUGGUGAAGAGCGCAUCGUGCUUGAAUUCGAUUACCUGGACGAACCAUUUGGAGAAGCACAAGGCCUUCUUGCUGGCUUUUGUGGAAUUUUGGCAACUGACUUCUCCUUAUUUCCAAUUCUCUUUGAGAAAUGGUCAGAUUUACCUAUAUCAUACUUCGACCAUGUAUUUGAUCUAAGUGUAAAGGUAUAAGCUCUAAUUCUUUCUGCUACACGUCUAUUUUAUUGUUGGACUUCAUAUUUGCAUGUAACAGAUAAGCUAACCAAUGUUUUAUUCUUGAAGCAACGAUUUUGUUUAAGACAGUCGAGUCAGUUGCACGAGGUUAUGUUUAUAAUUCUAUUUGGAAAAAGUGGAGCGCGGAUAGGCUAAACUUGUGGAGAGCAUUCUAUCCACUCAAAAGUAAAGCUCAGAUUAUGGAAAAUAUUCCGGCUGGGAUUCCACGGGAUCAGUGGACUUCGUUUGUUGAUUACCAUUUUAAAGAAAUAAUUUUGGUAUUUAUUUAAUUACUUCAACUUGUAUGUUUGAUUAUAUUUAGUUAUUUGUGUGAUUGGCUUUCAAGUAUUUUUUUUUGUAAGGAAAUGUGCAAAAGGAAUACUGAAAUUCGAAAGAAACAAACAUUUACAUAUAGGUGGCUCCAAACCUAACUCCAGAAGAGGGGCUGAAAUGAUGGUUGAGACUGGACGAAGGCCUGGACACGCACAACUUUAUUUUGAUACUCAUAAGAAAUAAGAUGGAACAUAUGUGAAUAAGGCGGCAAAGGAGAUAUGUGAAAAAAUUGAACUUGCUUUGAGCCAAAGCACGGUGGAUGAGUCUGGAGUUUUGCCGAAUGCUGUUGUUGUUAAAGUGCUAGGAAAAGGGCACUCUGGAAGGGUAAGGUGCUUAGGAUUAGGAGCUGUCCCAACAAAGUUUUUAAACAUGCAAGACCUCGUUUUGGUGGUAUGAAUGCUUUAAGUAGUGAUGCUUCAUGUUUGAACCAUUGCUAAGAGAACUUCAAUAAAUUGUUGAAUGCUCACAACCAAAGCCAAGAGAACUACAAAGAAAUAGUGAAUUCACACAAACAAAUGACGAAUGCUUUCAAGGCAUAUAUGAUAAUGAAAGAAGGGACAAUACCAGAACAAUUUACGAGGUUCUUUGCUUCUCCUCCUACAAUGCCAAGAGAUGCAACUAGUGGAUCUCUAUCACCCAUGGACGCAAGAAGAUCAUCUGAUGGCAGUAAUUCAGGUGACAACAAUUGAAGUUCUUUAUAAUUGAAUAUUAGAUAAUUAAUUAUGACAAUGUAAUUACGUGAUUGGAGCGGAUGUUAGAAUGGCUAGGGUGAAUAUUUUAUGUUAAAAUUUAGUUUGAAAACUACUGAAUUACUUUAUAUAUGAAAGUAACA
This is a non-coding RNA of Nicotiana tabacum (common tobacco), 2961 nucleotides long. Lineage: Eukaryota; Viridiplantae; Streptophyta; Magnoliopsida; Solanales; Solanaceae. The record is from RefSeq and is a predicted model, not a curated record.